Molecule: transfer RNA, 71 nt
Filed under: Loxodonta africana (African savanna elephant)
Lineage: Eukaryota; Metazoa; Chordata; Mammalia; Proboscidea; Elephantidae
Rfam family: tRNA
About the family: Transfer RNA (tRNA) molecules are approximately 80 nucleotides in length. Their secondary structure includes four short double-helical elements and three loops (D, anti-codon, and T loops).
Source: Rfam by way of RNAcentral
GCAGUGGUGGUUCAGUGGAAGAGUUCUCCCUUUCCAUUCGAUAGACUCAGGUUCAAUUCCUGGUCAAUGCA